This 504-nucleotide ribosomal RNA is filed under the name uncultured bacterium. Its description in RNAcentral is "partial 16S ribosomal RNA". It matches the Rfam family "Bacterial small subunit ribosomal RNA", at positions 28 to 523 of the family's 1533-position model. The record is from RNAcentral.
GAUAAACGCUAGCGGCAGGCUUAACACAUGCAAGCCGAGGGGCAGCAUAGAUUGUAGCAAUACAAUUGGUGGCGACCGGCGCACGGGUGCGUAAAGCGCAUGCAAACUACCCGUCACGGGGGGAUCAUCCGGAGAAAUCUGGUCUAAUACCCCAUAACAUAUGGUUCGGCAUCGGAAUAUGUUGAAAUUUUCGGAGGUGACGGAUUGGCAUGCGUAGCAUUAGCUUGUUGGUGAGGUAACGGGUCACCAAGGGGGCGAAGCUUAGGGGGACUGAGAGGUGUUCCCCACACGCUGGUACUGAGACACGGACCAGACUCCAACGGGAGGCAGCAGUAAGGAAUAUUGGUCAAUGGGCGCAAGACUGAACCAGCGAUGCCGCGUGCAAGAUGACGGCGCUAUGAGUUGUAAACUGCUUGUGUACGAGGGUAAAGUGGGUUACGUGUAUCCGUUUGAGAGUAUCGUACGAAUAAGGAUCGGCUAACUCCGUGCCAGCCGCCGCGGUAA